AGUGUACGGGACGACAGUGCCUAGCAGAGGAGCUUCACUGCCGGUGAGGGAUUACCUCAGGUUAGGCUUUAAUGUUUCGUUGCCGUCUAGAGACGUUCUAGCAAUGUGACAUCUGUGUACCAUAUCUGGAAGUCUCCCUGUACGUCAAGAGCCCCUUAGGGGAGUCUCCCAUUGCCGCCGUGGGAACCUGUGUUUACAUUACGAGGAGAGAGAAUAGCUGUACUCUGAACUCAAACGCUCAAAACAUGCAGUGAGCGAAUGCUAGCAUAAUUUUCUUGCCUCUACCAGAAGGAAGGCUGGGUAUUUAGGAAACAGAACGCGUUGGGCACAACAUUCUGAGAAAAUGGACACAGAAAAUUAGGUUAUCCUAAUAGAAAAGCAGUUGCAUCUCCCAAAGUCAAGAGAUUCUGUAGGACUUCCGAUGUAUCUCCUGCUGUGUAAAAUAUUCAGGUUCCUGAAGUGGGGGACAUUUUUAGGGCAACUGUAAUUUCUUCAUUUUUUCCAUCCCACAAGUGCUGGAGGCAGCAGUGAUCUGAGCUCUAGAAAGUGACUGUCCGUCACCAUCGAAACUUCCUUCUACUACUUAAAGUCCUCACAUUGGGCUGACCUGGGAAACAUGAAGAUAAAAAGAGUGGGUAAACAUGCCUGCUUGAUGAGCCAGAAAAAAAGGCAGAAACCUGUGGUCUGGGUAGAACAGAUCCUGCUCAGAAUGGACCUUACAGUCUAAUGAGGAAAAAACGUGUGCAGACAUAUAUAAGAUAAGUGAGAGAGUCGGAGAAGAACAUCAGAAGUGAUAUUUGAGCAUAGUAAGGUCAAAGAAGUUUCAAAGUUUAGUCAUUUGUCCAUUCAGUAACUAUUUAUAGAGCAUCUUCUGUGUGCUAGGCACUAUAUAAGAAAUUAAGGGGCUGGGUGUGGUGGCUCAUGCCUGUAAUCCCAGCACUUCGGGAGGCUGAGGCAGGUGAAUCACCUGAGGUCAGGAGUUCGAGACCAGCCUGGCCAACAUGGUGAAACCCCGUCUCUACUAAAAAUACAAACAUUAGCCAAGUGUAGUGGCGCAUGCCUGUAAUCCCAGCUACCCUGGAGGCUUAAGCAGAAGAACCGCUGGAACCCAGGAGAAGAAGGCUACCAUGAGCCGAGAUUGCACCAUUGCACUCCAGCCUGGGCGACAGUGAGACUCUGUCUCAAAAAAAAAAAAAAGAAAGAAAGAAAGAAAUAAAAAAAAAAGAAAUUAAGGAUACACAGAAGAAAAGGCAUGGUCUGUGCCCUGAAGGAGCUUACAGUUAAGCAGAGAAGUUGCACGAUUUGGAAGUAGUAAGGUAAAUUGAGUCAGAUUUUGAAAGGCAAUGUAGAGCUGUUAGAAGUUUAUUCGCACAGGUAGCCAGGCACAGUGGCUCAUGCCUGUAAUCCCAGCACUUUGGGAAGCCAAGGUGGCAGAUCACUGGAGGUCAGGAGUUCAAGACCAGCCUGGCCAACACAGUGAAACCCCAUCUCUACUACAAAUACAAAAAUUAGCCAGAUAUGGUGGCAUAUGCUUGUAAUCCCAGCUACUCGGGAGGCUGAGGCAGGAGAAUCGCUUGAAUCCGGGAGGCAGAGGUUGCAGUGAGCCGAGAUCGUGCCACUGCAGUCUAGGCUGGGCAAACAGAGCCAGACUCUGUCUCAAAAAAGAAGUUUAUUCAGACAGGAAAGAAGGCGAGAAGGGGCAGAUAUGUGAAAUACAUCCUCCUAAACCAAGUCAGAGCAACUGGAGAGGGAGGUGGAGCAGUUAGCAAUCGGAAGCAUUCAAGUUUCAUUCAGGGUAUAAACCAGGAAAAGUUGUUCUGGCCCCUCAUCUGGUUUCAUGAAGGACAAUAUCUAGCAUGAGAGUGACAGGGGUUAGAAUAAUGGACAUUUUGGGGACUGGGUCCUAGCAGAAAUGAUGGAAUAAUGGAACAGGAGUUUGGAUGAAUGGGCAUAUUAUGGGAUUAAAGAAGAUUUGAAUACAAGCUUUCCUAAUAAAUGAAAGGGGAGGUGAAACUAGAGCAUGCUGAUGGCUGCACAGCAUUGUGAAUGCACUAAAUGCACUAACUGUCCACUUUAAAAUGUUUAGUAAUAUGUCGAUUUUACCUAAAUAAAAAAAAGGAAGCAACA
Molecule: long non-coding RNA, 2127 nt
Filed under: Homo sapiens (human)
Lineage: Eukaryota; Metazoa; Chordata; Mammalia; Primates; Hominidae
Description: non-protein coding HIPK1-AS1:15
Rfam family: Metazoan signal recognition particle RNA (bases 905-1021)
Source: RNAcentral